This 21-nucleotide unclassified non-coding RNA is filed under the name Chlamydomonas reinhardtii. RNAcentral's name for it is "small RNA Cre_0436". Lineage: Eukaryota; Viridiplantae; Chlorophyta; Chlorophyceae; Chlamydomonadales; Chlamydomonadaceae. The record is from RNAcentral.
AGAGUUGUCUUGGUUAGUGAG